This is a non-coding RNA of Nicotiana tabacum (common tobacco), 513 nucleotides long. The record is from RefSeq and is a predicted model, not a curated record. NCBI's taxonomy places the organism in Eukaryota, Viridiplantae, Streptophyta, Magnoliopsida, Solanales, Solanaceae.
UCCCAUUUCAAAAAAUUUCCCAAAUCUUUCCCUCUUUUAAUUACACUAUGCCUCAAGGUUUUCUCUUUUCAACAAUUCGGCUGAACUGCCUUCUUCCCUGUGACUUCCUUUCGCUUCAAUUGCUUCAGGCUUGAAGGAUGACAGGGGUUUUUCUGAAGGGAAGUAUCUUUUUGGGCAAAUUAACUUUAGAAUGCCGCUACUCGUAUUAAGAUUUGGUUUAAAGGAUUGAUGUGCUUGCAUGAUGACACUGGGGUUGUUAGUUCCUCUAGAAAUGAGAUAUUGAGUUCCAGCAUAGUGAUAUGCAGAGUGAGUCUGCUUCACUCAUGGGAGGAAGAGUAUCACGAGGUGACAACAAUACAGAUCACCAAGCAAAUACAUGUCACUUUUAUAUAUUUAUUUAUUGUUGACCUACUCUAGAUUGUAAAAUGUUCAAGCUAUCAUAUACCGUAUGUAUUGUAUGAACUUGAAUUUGUGAUGUUGGUUUGUUUAGAUACUUUUAAUGGAAUUAGAUUU